This 253-nucleotide ribosomal RNA is filed under the name uncultured bacterium. RNAcentral describes it as "partial 16S ribosomal RNA". It matches the Rfam family "Bacterial small subunit ribosomal RNA", at positions 524 to 776 of the family's 1533-position model. The record is from RNAcentral.
UACAGAGGUCCCAAGCGUUGUUCGGAUUCACUGGGCGUAAAGCGUGCGCAGGCGGUUAUGUAAGACAGGGGUGAAAUCCCCGGGCUUAACCUGGGAACUGCAUUUGUGACUGCAUAGCUAGAGUACGGUAGAGGGGGAUGGAAUUCCGCGUGUAGCAGUGAAAUGCGUAGAUAUGCGGAGGAACACCGAUGGCGAAGGCAAUCCCCUGGACCUGUACUGACGCUCAUGCACGAAAGCUAGGGUAGCGAACGGG